Cyprinodon tularosa is the source of this 864-nucleotide long non-coding RNA. RefSeq lists it as uncharacterized. The transcript is spliced from 3 exons. NCBI's taxonomy places the organism in Eukaryota, Metazoa, Chordata, Actinopteri, Cyprinodontiformes, Cyprinodontidae. The record is from RefSeq and is a predicted model, not a curated record.
GGCUCUCACAUUCCAGCGCGUCGCUGAAAAAAAGGGGGGAUUUAGAGCGACUUAUUUCCUUUAAAUUGUCCUCCGGUCCGCCGAGUUAGCCAGUAUGAUCUCACAGGCCUGAGCCGAGCUGAACUGGAGAACACCAGGGAGUCAGAGAAAUGUUAGUCGCAUCAUCUGGAGGUGAAGACAAAUGAUGGAAGAACAAUGCGGACGCUGAAUGACUUGAUAUUCCCUCAUUUAUUAAGAUUCCGAUCGGAGGAGGAGCAUGCAUGGAUCCAGAAGUUGGAUUUGUCCAGGAACUGAGACAGAGAAAAGUUUUGCUAUAGCUGAAAACACAUACAGGAGUUUGCAAACAAACAAGUGGAAGCAGUGAACACAGUCGACGUGCAAUUCUCCAGCCUCCAGCAAGAGCCAAGGUCAUGACUGGCUGACAGAGGCAAAUUAGCAGAAGUUAACAUUAUGAGAACUGUCUAAAGAAACCUUUGCAUGAAAAUAUUCAUUCAAAUUUCCACUUUAACAUACUCAAACAUUUUCUGUAAUUGCUUGUGAGUGAAGAGCCACAUUAAUUGACUGUGACUGUUCUUAUAAUUAAACUUCAAUGUGUAAAAGCAUUGUUGCCACUAUUGUUAAAGGUUUACUCUUCCUGUGUGCUCUGAGGAGUCUGCAUGGCGUGCUAAAACCUGCCCUGCAGACCGGACCUUCCCAGUCUUCAAAGCAGGGGAACUCAAUGUGAGGGGGAUUUGUUCAGGCUUAUUUGGUAACCUAGGAUUUGAAUUGGAUUCUUGGAGGCAUUCACGACACAUUUGAAAUAUGUUACAUUGUGCGAUUUUGUGUGUAAUCCCCAUAAUAAAUUUUUAGAAAUGGUUUCACAAC